AUUGAACGCUGGCGGCAUGCCUUACACAUGCAAGUCGAACGGUAACAGGUCUUCGGAUGCUGACGAGUGGCGAACGGGUGAGUAAUACAUCGGAACGUGCCUAGUAGUGGGGGAUAACUACUCGAAAGAGUGGCUAAUACCGCAUGAGAUCUACGGGUGAAAGCAGGGGAUCGCAAGACCUUGUGCUACUAGAGCGGCCGAUGGCAGAUUAGGUAGUUGGUGGGAUAAAAGCUUACCAAGCCGACGAUCUGUAGCUGGUCGGAGAGGACGAUCAGCCAAACGGGGACUGAGACACGGCCCAGACGCCUACGGGAGGCAGCAGUGGGGAAUUUUGGACAAUGGGCGAAAGCCUGAUCCAGCAAUGCCGCGUGAAGGAUGAAGGCCUUCGGGUUGUAAACUGCUUUUGUACGGAACGAAAAGCCCCGGGUUAAUACCCUGGGGUCAUGACGGUACCGUAAGAAUAAGCACCGGCUAACCACGUGCCAGCCGCCGCCGUAA
This 498-nucleotide ribosomal RNA is filed under the name uncultured bacterium. Its description in RNAcentral is "partial 16S ribosomal RNA". It matches the Rfam family "Bacterial small subunit ribosomal RNA", at positions 30 to 523 of the family's 1533-position model. The record is from RNAcentral.